Peromyscus eremicus (cactus mouse) is the source of this 1305-nucleotide long non-coding RNA. RefSeq lists it as uncharacterized. NCBI's taxonomy places the organism in Eukaryota, Metazoa, Chordata, Mammalia, Rodentia, Cricetidae. The record is from RefSeq and is a predicted model, not a curated record. The transcript is spliced from 3 exons.
AGAGAGAGAGAGAGAGACUGUGUGUAUGAGAGUAGAUUAUGUUACACACACACACAAAUACCUAAUUGCUACCAAUAUUUGAAUAGUGCUUCAUAGCUUCCAUAGUAUAUUUAUACAGAUUUCCUCUCUUACUUCUUACAACAGUCUUAUUAAAUUACUCACUGUGUAAGAAAGGUAACUAAAACUCAUAAAAUGAUUUAGUCAAAGUCAGACCAUUGGUGACGGAACAAGGAUAUCAGUGUGCUUUAUACCACAGGCAAUUCUGGAAGCCGUUUCUCCUGCUCCUUAGACAUGGCCAGCAUGGGGCUAGAAAUCUUGCAUCAGUAUGCCAAACACUUUGGAAUUAUCAGAGUUUCAUAUUUCUCUCAGCUUGAGCAACUUUCUGGUAAGAAUAUGAAACCUGUGACUUUGUACUUUUGGGGAACUGAUCCAUCUACGUGGAUAGUAACAACACACUUUUACAAUGGCGCUGGGUAAAAGAACAUGUUUAAUUCUCCUUAGGCUUUUGCAGACUCACAAACAUCAUUAGCAGAUUGAGGUAUUUAUUAUUUUUUAAACUAAGAUGUGUUUUGUCCAAUAUACUAGUGUGCUAACUUAUAAAAAGAACAGUUUUAGUCUUGGAGAUUUCAGCCCAUAACCAACUGACUGACCAUGUAGCUUUGGGUGUGUGGUGAGGCAGCAUAUCAUGGCAGGUAUGUGUGGAAUAAACAAAUCAUUCACCUAUCUGGGCACAAAAGAGAGGGGAAGAGCGCAGCAUCCUUUGAGAGCACAUUUUCAUGGGCCUAAAAUUUCUUGUUAGAUCUUACCUGUUAAAGAUUUUACUUCUCCCGAUAGUGCCAAGCUGGUGAACAAGCCUUAUCACAUGAGCCUUUAAAGGACAUUCCAGAUCUGAACUAUAGCAACUGAAUCUCACUGUGAAGCCCUAGGUGACCUGGAAAUUCCACCAGACUGGCCUCAGACUCACAGAGAUCCAUCCACCUGUCUCUGCUCCCAAGUGCCAGGAUUAAAGAAAAGGUUGGAAUUUCUCAGUGAAGAUUACCCUUGUCGAGGAGGAAAAUGAUUGACUACUCUUAGACUGGAGAUAUCGUAGGAAGGACAUUCCUGCUAUUUCAUCCAGCAGAGCAGAUGUGUUUAGUUUUCACCUGUAUCCUUUGAAGUACUGGCAACCAACAUCACUUAGGUACCAGACCACAGGAGCUCUUAUAGACAUGGUCAGAACUAUUAAAGCAUUAUUGGAAUUGUUAUAAUAACCAAAUCUCCCCACGACAUACAUCUUUUGAAUGUUUUCCCACACUUUUGAAGGAA